GGGUUGUGAGGUUAAGCGACUAAGCGUACACGGUGGAUGCCCUGGCAGUCAGAGGCGAUGAAGGACGUGCUAAUCUGCGAUAAGCGUCGGUAAGGUGAUAUGAACCGUUAUAACCGGCGAUUUCCGAAUGGGGAAACCCAGUGUGUUUCGACACACUAUCAUUAACUGAAUCCAUAGGUUAAUGAGGCGAACCGGGGGAACUGAAACAUCUAAGUACCCCGAGGAAAAGAAAUCAACCGAGAUUCCCCCAGUAGCGGCGAGCGAACGGGGAGCAGCCCAGAGCCUGAAUCAGUGUGUGUGUUAGUGGAAGCGUCUGGAAAGGCGCGCGAUACAGGGUGACAGCCCCGUACACAAAAAUGCACAUGCUGUGAGCUCGAUGAGUAGGGCGGGACACGUGGUAUCCUGUCUGAAUAUGGGGGGACCAUCCUCCAAGGCUAAAUACUCCUGACUGACCGAUAGUGAACCAGUACCGUGAGGGAAAGGCGAAAAGAACCCCGGCGAGGGGAGUGAAAAAGAACCUGAAACCGUGUACGUACAAGCAGUGGGAGCACGCUUAGGCGUGUGACUGCGUACCUUUUGUAUAAUGGGUCAGCGACUUAUAUUCUGUAGCAAGGUUAACCGAAUAGGGGAGCCGAAGGGAAACCGAGUCUUAACUGGGCGUUAAGUUGCAGGGUAUAGACCCGAAACCCGGUGAUCUAGCCAUGGGCAGGUUGAAGGUUGGGUAACACUAACUGGAGGACCGAACCGACUAAUGUUGAAAAAUUAGCGGAUGACUUGUGGCUGGGGGUGAAAGGCCAAUCAAACCGGGAGAUAGCUGGUUCUCCCCGAAAGCUAUUUAGGUAGCGCCUCGUGAAUUCAUCUCCGGGGGUAGAGCACUGUUUCGGCAAGGGGGUCAUCCCGACUUACCAACCCGAUGCAAACUGCGAAUACCGGAGAAUGUUAUCACGGGAGACACACGGCGGGUGCUAACGUCCGUCGUGAAGAGGGAAACAACCCAGACCGCCAGCUAAGGUCCCAAAGUCAUGGUUAAGUGGGAAACGAUGUGGGAAGGCCCAGACAGCCAGGAUGUUGGCUUAGAAGCAGCCAUCAUUUAAAGAAAGCGUAAUAGCUCACUGGUCGAGUCGGCCUGCGCGGAAGAUGUAACGGGGCUAAACCAUGCACCGAAGCUGCGGCAGCGACGCUUAUGCGUUGUUGGGUAGGGGAGCGUUCUGUAAGCCUGCGAAGGUGUGCUGUGAGGCAUGCUGGAGGUAUCAGAAGUGCGAAUGCUGACAUAAGUAACGAUAAAGCGGGUGAAAAGCCCGCUCGCCGGAAGACCAAGGGUUCCUGUCCAACGUUAAUCGGGGCAGGGUGAGUCGACCCCUAAGGCGAGGCCGAAAGGCGUAGUCGAUGGGAAACAGGUUAAUAUUCCUGUACUUGGUGUUACUGCGAAGGGGGGACGGAGAAGGCUAUGUUGGCCGGGCGACGGUUGUCCCGGUUUAAGCGUGUAGGCUGGUUUUCCAGGCAAAUCCGGAAAAUCAAGGCUGAGGCGUGAUGACGAGGCACUACGGUGCUGAAGCAACAAAUGCCCUGCUUCCAGGAAAAGCCUCUAAGCAUCAGGUAACAUCAAAUCGUACCCCAAACCGACACAGGUGGUCAGGUAGAGAAUACCAAGGCGCUUGAGAGAACUCGGGUGAAGGAACUAGGCAAAAUGGUGCCGUAACUUCGGGAGAAGGCACGCUGAUAUGUAGGUGAAGUCCCUCGCGGAUGGAGCUGAAAUCAGUCGAAGAUACCAGCUGGCUGCAACUGUUUAUUAAAAACACAGCACUGUGCAAACACGAAAGUGGACGUAUACGGUGUGACGCCUGCCCGGUGCCGGAAGGUUAAUUGAUGGGGUUAGCGCAAGCGAAGCUCUUGAUCGAAGCCCCGGUAAACGGCGGCCGUAACUAUAACGGUCCUAAGGUAGCGAAAUUCCUUGUCGGGUAAGUUCCGACCUGCACGAAUGGCGUAAUGAUGGCCAGGCUGUCUCCACCCGAGACUCAGUGAAAUUGAACUCGCUGUGAAGAUGCAGUGUACCCGCGGCAAGACGGAAAGACCCCGUGAACCUUUACUAUAGCUUGACACUGAACAUUGAGCCUUGAUGUGUAGGAUAGGUGGGAGGCUUUGAAGUGUGGACGCCAGUCUGCAUGGAGCCGACCUUGAAAUACCACCCUUUAAUGUUUGAUGUUCUAACGUUGACCCGUAAUCCGGGUUGCGGACAGUGUCUGGUGGGUAGUUUGACUGGGGCGGUCUCCUCCUAAAGAGUAACGGAGGAGCACGAAGGUUGGCUAAUCCUGGUCGGACAUCAGGAGGUUAGUGCAAUGGCAUAAGCCAGCUUGACUGCGAGCGUGACGGCGCGAGCAGGUGCGAAAGCAGGUCAUAGUGAUCCGGUGGUUCUGAAUGGAAGGGCCAUCGCUCAACGGAUAAAAGGUACUCCGGGGAUAACAGGCUGAUACCGCCCAAGAGUUCAUAUCGACGGCGGUGUUUGGCACCUCGAUGUCGGCUCAUCACAUCCUGGGGCUGAAGUAGGUCCCAAGGGUAUGGCUGUUCGCCAUUUAAAGUGGUACGCGAGCUGGGUUUAGAACGUCGUGAGACAGUUCGGUCCCUAUCUGCCGUGGGCGCUGGAGAACUGAGGGGGGCUGCUCCUAGUACGAGAGGACCGGAGUGGACGCAUCACUGGUGUUCGGGUUGUCAUGCCAAUGGCACUGCCCGGUAGCUAAAUGCGGAAGAGAUAAGUGCUGAAAGCAUCUAAGCACGAAACUUGCCCCGAGAUGAGUUCUCCCUGACUCCUUGAGAGUCCUGAAGGAACGUUGAAGACGACGACGUUGAUAGGCCGGGUGUGUAAGCGCAGCGAUGCGUUGAGCUAACCGGUACUAAUGAACCGUGAGGCUUAACCUUACAACGCCGAAGGUGUUU
RNAcentral lists this ribosomal RNA (2931 nucleotides) under Escherichia coli. RNAcentral's name for it is "23S ribosomal RNA". It matches the Rfam family "Bacterial large subunit ribosomal RNA". The record is from RNAcentral. Lineage: Bacteria; Pseudomonadati; Pseudomonadota; Gammaproteobacteria; Enterobacterales; Enterobacteriaceae.